Zingiber officinale is the source of this 961-nucleotide long non-coding RNA. RefSeq lists it as uncharacterized. The record is from RefSeq and is a predicted model, not a curated record. The transcript is spliced from 2 exons. Lineage: Eukaryota; Viridiplantae; Streptophyta; Magnoliopsida; Zingiberales; Zingiberaceae.
CUUUGUUUGCAUUGCCGGGAUGCGGACCGGCUCUGCUUGUUCUAGAGCCAGCACCUUCUACUCGAAUCAAAACUCCAAUAUUGCCUCUAAUCUAGACCGUUCGUUGAAUGAUACUCGCUAUGCGAUUAGGGGAGUAGUGGGCCCCAGGAAGAUUCCUCGAAUAGAAGAGCGGGUAGAGUUGUAUGUGGCGUCUCAACUGAAAACCUAACCCAAGAAAAUUACGGAAUAUAUAUAACAGUCGAAGAGGGCCGCUAUCGUUCGGUUGUGUCUCUCGACGGGCUCUGUCGUCUUCUCCUUCGAUUUGCUCUACCGCUAAUUUCUCCGCCCUUCUCUUCGGCGGUUCAAUCCCUGAUCCAGCCGAUUCUAGUCCACAGGAUCCUGCUGCCACUUCUCCAGUGUGCAAUGUCACCAUUAGCUACAAACAUCGCUGUCCAACCCUAUCCGAUAACCUCUUGGGCGUGGAUCCUUGCCAGAUUCCAACAUCUGAAAAUGAGGCAGCUAAUUGGUUGGUUGAGAGAUUCAAGCUGAAGGAUCAACUCUUAUCUGAUUUUACCACUCAUGGACAUUUCCCCAAUCAAGGAACUGAAGGAGAUCUUUCGAUAUCGGUGUGCCUCGUGAAAUUCUUCAUGGUAAUACUCAACUACCAUCUUUGUCUACUUGAAUGUCCUACCAUCACCAAUACUACUUGACUCUGCAAAGGGUUUGUUCCAUAGCAAAAGCAAGAUUUUGUAAAUGUAUUACCUUACUCUUUUUGUUUAUCAUUUUGUGACCUAUGUUUCCACAUUUGCCAUUAGUCAUUUCAUGUCUAAUAUUUUCGUAUGUUUCAACAUUUGUCAUUAGUCGUAUGGUGUCUAAUAUUUUCAACUCUAGAGAUUCAUAACAAUAUGUUUCUGAUCAAUCUUCUGCUGCUGUAGAGGGAGGAUUAUUGAAAAAAUAAAACUGAUGAACACUAGCUAUAUUC